Molecule: long non-coding RNA, 597 nt
Organism: Numida meleagris (helmeted guineafowl)
Lineage: Eukaryota; Metazoa; Chordata; Aves; Galliformes; Numididae
Exons: 4
Source: RefSeq, a predicted model, not a curated record
UUUAAUGGUUGGCAGGAAGGGAAGGGCAUCUUGUUUGAGUUCCCUGACUGUUUGAGGCUUUCUGAAGUGUCCGAUGGAAGAUGUUGAUGCUUCUGGAAGCAAUGAUAAAAAUAUAGUGGACUUUGGCCAGCAAGUUCAGCGCUUUUUAAUCAGCUGCUGUUGGAAUCCAGUGUCCUUGUGUGGCUGCCCAGGUGCUGUCCUACCAAGCAGUAACCGUUUGUAUUUACAAGCACCACCUUCACACUGGGCAGCAACUUCACUAAGUGGAAAGUAAAGAAAACACCAAAUAGUGAGGAACCCUGGAUUUUAUUCUUAGAUUUAGCACUGAUGAGGAGAGAAAGGAAAGAGAAUUCUCUAGUUCUAUUUCCGGUUGUAUUAUUUAUGAAGUAUGUAAGCUUAAAACAAGGAGACACUCCUUUUAGUGAUCAAGGGUUCAUGCUAGACACUUUUAGGACUUAAGUGAUAAAACUAUAAAGAAUCUCUUUCAAAUCCACCACAUAUUGCAAAUCCCAUUGUUUAAAAUGCAUGCAGUCAACAAAUCUGAAUUGUUCAGGUGCAUGUCCCUGUCUGUGCAAACAUUUCUUGAGGUACUAAAUA